RNAcentral lists this ribosomal RNA (243 nucleotides) under Klebsiella pneumoniae. RNAcentral describes it as "partial 23S ribosomal RNA". It matches the Rfam family "Bacterial large subunit ribosomal RNA", at positions 1293 to 1539 of the family's 2925-position model. The record is from RNAcentral. Lineage: Bacteria; Pseudomonadati; Pseudomonadota; Gammaproteobacteria; Enterobacterales; Enterobacteriaceae.
AAUGCUGACAUCAGUAACGAUAAAGCGGGUGAAAAGCCCGCUCGCCGGAAGACCAAGGGUUCCUGUCAAACGUUAAUCGGGGCCGGGUGAGUCGACCCCUAAGGCGAGGCCGAAAGGCGUAGUCGAUGGGAAACAGGUUAAUAUUCAUGUACUUGGUGUUACUGCGAAGGGGGGACGGAGAAGUCUAUGUUAGCCGGGCGACGGUUGUCCCGGUUUAAGCAUGUAGUCUGGUUAUCCAGGCAA